Molecule: ribosomal RNA, 1364 nt
Filed under: Pediococcus sp.
Lineage: Bacteria; Bacillati; Bacillota; Bacilli; Lactobacillales; Lactobacillaceae
Description: bacterial SSU rRNA
Rfam family: Bacterial small subunit ribosomal RNA
Source: RNAcentral
CUUCCGUUAAUUGAUUAUGACGUGCUUGCACUGAAUGAGAUUUUAACACGAAGUGAGUGGCGGACGGGUGAGUAACACGUGGGUAACCUGCCCAGAAGCAGGGGAUAACACCUGGAAACAGAUGCUAAUACCGUAUAACAGAGAAAACCGCCUGGUUUUCUUUUAAAAGAUGGCUCUGCUAUCACUUCUGGAUGGACCCGCGGCGCAUUAGCUAGUUGGUGAGGUAACGGCUCACCAAGGCGAUGAUGCGUAGCCGACCUGAGAGGGUAAUCGGCCACAUUGGGACUGAGACACGGCCCAGACUCCUACGGGAGGCAGCAGUAGGGAAUCUUCCACAAUGGACGCAAGUCUGAUGGAGCAACGCCGCGUGAGUGAAGAAGGGUUUCGGCUCGUAAAGCUCUGUUGUUAAAGAAGAACGUGGGUGAGAGUAACUGUUCACCCAGUGACGGUAUUUAACCAGAAAGCCACGGCUAACUACGUGCCAGCAGCCGCGGUAAUACGUAGGUGGCAAGCGUUAUCCGGAUUUAUUGGGCGUAAAGCGAGCGCAGGCGGUCUUUUAAGUCUAAUGUGAAAGCCUUCGGCUCAACCGAAGAAGUGCAUUGGAAACUGGGAGACUUGAGUGCAGAAGAGGACAGUGGAACUCCAUGUGUAGCGGUGAAAUGCGUAGAUAUAUGGAAGAACACCAGUGGCGAAGGCGGCUGUCUGGUCUGUAACUGACGCUGAGGCUCGAAAGCAUGGGUAGCGAACAGGAUUAGAUACCCUGGUAGUCCAUGCCGUAAACGAUGAUUACUAAGUGUUGGAGGGUUUCCGCCCUUCAGUGCUGCAGCUAACGCAUUAAGUAAUCCGCCUGGGGAGUACGACCGCAAGGUUGAAACUCAAAAGAAUUGACGGGGGCCCGCACAAGCGGUGGAGCAUGUGGUUUAAUUCGAAGCUACGCGAAGAACCUUACCAGGUCUUGACAUCUUCUGCCAACCUAAGAGAUUAGGCGUUCCCUUCGGGGACAGAAUGACAGGUGGUGCAUGGUUGUCGUCAGCUCGUGUCGUGAGAUGUUGGGUUAAGUCCCGCAACGAGCGCAACCCUUAUUACUAGUUGCCAGCAUUCAGUUGGGCACUCUAGUGAGACUGCCGGUGACAAACCGGAGGAAGGUGGGGACGACGUCAAAUCAUCAUGCCCCUUAUGACCUGGGCUACACACGUGCUACAAUGGAUGGUACAACGAGUUGCGAAACCGCGAGGUUUAGCUAAUCUCUUAAAACCAUUCUCAGUUCGGACUGUAGGCUGCAACUCGCCUACACGAAGUCGGAAUCGCUAGUAAUCGCGGAUCAGCAUGCCGCGGUGAAUACGUUCCCGGGCCUUGUACACACC